RNAcentral lists this ribosomal RNA (1522 nucleotides) under metagenome. RNAcentral's name for it is "bacterial SSU rRNA". It matches the Rfam family "Bacterial small subunit ribosomal RNA". The record is from RNAcentral.
AGAGUUUGAUCCUGGCUCAGAACGAACGCUGGCGGCGUGCCUAAUACAUGCAAGUCGUGCGAGAGAGUUCCGCUUCGGUGGAGCGAGUAAAGCGGCAAACGGGUGAGUAACACGUAAGUAAUCUGCCCCUAAGUUCGGAAUAACCUUGCCAACGCGGGGAUAAUACCGGAUGUGGUCACGAGAUCGCAUGGUUUCGUGAUUAAAGAUGACCUCUACUUGUAAGUUAUCGCUUUGGGAUGGGCUUGCGCACCAUUAGCUAGUUGGUAGGGUAACGGCCUACCAAGGCUGCGAUGGUUAGCCGACCUGAGAGGGUGAUCGGCCACAUUGGGACUGAGAUACGGCCCAGACUCCUACGGGAGGCAGCAGUAGGGAAUUUUGCGCAAUGGACGAAAGUCUGACGCAGCAACGCCGCGUGAGGGAUGAAGGGUUUCGGCUCGUAAACCUCUGUUGAGUGGGAAGAAACGCCAUACGGUUAAUACCCGUAUGGUCUGACGGUACCAUUCGAGGAAGCUCCGGCUAACUACGUGCCAGCAGCCGCGGUAAUACGUAGGGGGCAAGCGUUGUUCGGAAUUACUGGGCGUAAAGGGAGUGUAGGCGGGAGAGUAAGUCAGGAGUUUAAUCCACAGGCCUAACCUGCGGUCGGCUUUUGAUACUGCUUUUCUUGAGUAUGGGAGAGGAAGAUGGAAUUCCAGGUGUAGCGGUGGAAUGCGUAGAUAUCUGGAAGAACACCAGUUGCGAAGGCGGUCUUCUGGCCCAAUACUGACGCUGAGGCUCGAAAGCUAGGGGAGCAAACAGGAUUAGAUACCCUGGUAGUCCUAGCCAUAAACGAUGGACACUAGUUGGUGGGGGGGGUCAAUCCCUUCACUGACGUAGCUAACGCAUUAAGUGUCCCGCCUGGGGAGUACGCUCGCAAGGGUGAAACUCAAAGGAAUUGACGGGGGCCCGCACAAGCGGUGGAGCAUGUGCUUUAAUUCGAUCCACGCGAAGAACCUUACCUGGGCUUGACAUGGGAGUGAAAGUUUCCAGAGAUGGAAUCCUUUCCGCAAGGAACACUCUACACAGGUGCUGCAUGGUUGUCGUCAGCUCGUGUCGUGAGAUGUUGGGUUAAGUCCCGCAACGAGCGCAACCCCCGUCCUUAGUUGCCAUCAGGUAAUGCUGGGAACUCUAGGGAGACUGCCUGGUCACAACCAGGAGGAAGGUGGGGAUGACGUCAAUCAUCAUGGCUCUUACGUCCAGGGCUAGACACGUGCUACAAUGGUCGGUACAAUGGGCUGCGACAUCGCGAGGUGAAGCAAAUCCUUAAAACCGGUCUCAGUUCAGAUUGGAGUCUGCAAUUCGACUCCAUGAAGGUGGAAUCGCUAGUAAUCGCGGAUCAGCAUGCCGCGGUGAAUACGUUCCCGGGCCUUGUACACACCGCCCGUCAAGCCAUGAAAGGUGGGAGUACCCGAAGUCAUAGCCUUAACCGCAAGGAUGGGCGUGCCGAAGGUAAGACCACUGAUUGGGGCUAAGUCGUAACAAGGUA